AGUCGAGCGGUAGCACAGAGAGCUUGCUCUCGGGUGACGAGCGGCGGACGGGUGAGUAAUGUCUGGGAAACUGCCUGAUGGAGGGGGAUAACUACUGGAAACGGUAGCUAAUACCGCAUAACGUCGCAAGACCAAAGUGGGGGACCUUCGGGCCUCAUGCCAUCAGAUGUGCCCAGAUGGGAUUAGCUAGUAGGUGGGGUAACGGCUCACCUAGGCGACGAUCCCUAGCUGGUCUGAGAGGAUGACCAGCCACACUGGAACUGAGACACGGUCCAGACUCCUACGGGAGGCAGCAGUGGGGAAUAUUGCACAAUGGGCGCAAGCCUGAUGCAGCCAUGCCGCGUGUGUGAAGAAGGCCUUCGGGUUGUAAAGCACUUUCAGCGGGGAGGAAGGCGUUGAGGUUAAUAACCUUGGCGAUUGACGUUACCCGCAGAAGAAGCACCGGCUAACUCCGUGCCAGCAGCCGCGGUAAUACGGAGGGUGCAAGCGUUAAUCGGAAUUACUGGGCGUAAAGCGCACGCAGGCGGUCUGUCAAGUCGGAUGUGAAAUCCCCGGGCUCAACCUGGGAACUGCAUUCGAAACUGGCAGGCUAGAGUCUUGUAGAGGGGGGUAGAAUUCCAGGUGUAGCGGUGAAAUGCGUAGAGAUCUGGAGGAAUACCGGUGGCGAAGGCGGCCCCCUGGACAAAGACUGACGCUCAGGUGCGAAAGCGUGGGGAGCAAACAGGAUUAGAUACCCUGGUAGUCCACGCCGUAAACGAUGUCGAUUUGGAGGUUGUGCCCUUGAGGCGUGGCUUCCGGAGCUAACGCGUUAAAUCGACCGCCUGGGGAGUACGGCCGCAAGGUUAAAACUCAAAUGAAUUGACGGGGGCCCGCACAAGCGGUGGAGCAUGUGGUUUAAUUCGAUGCAACGCGAAGAACCUUACCUGGUCUUGACAUCCACAGAACUUUCCAGAGAUGGAUUGGUGCCUUCGGGAACUGUGAGACAGGUGCUGCAUGGCUGUCGUCAGCUCGUGUUGUGAAAUGUUGGGUUAAGUCCCGCAACGAGCGCAACCCUUAUCCUUUGUUGCCAGCGGUUCGGCCGGGAACUCAAAGGAGACUGCCAGUGAUAAACUGGAGGAAGGUGGGGAUGACGUCAAGUCAUCAUGGCCCUUACGACCAGGGCUACACACGUGCUACAAUGGCAUAUACAAAGAGAAGCGACCUCGCGAGAGCAAGCGGACCUCAUAAAGUAUGUCGUAGUCCGGAUUGGAGUCUGCAACUCGACUCCAUGAAGUCGGAAUCGCUAGUAAUCGUAGAUCAGAAUGCUACGGUGAAUACGUUCCCGGGCCUUGUACACACCGCCCGUCACACCAUGGGAGUGGGUUGCAAAAGAAGUAGGUAG
This 1381-nucleotide ribosomal RNA is filed under the name Klebsiella pneumoniae. RNAcentral describes it as "bacterial SSU rRNA". It matches the Rfam family "Bacterial small subunit ribosomal RNA", at positions 60 to 1433 of the family's 1533-position model. Lineage: Bacteria; Pseudomonadati; Pseudomonadota; Gammaproteobacteria; Enterobacterales; Enterobacteriaceae. The record is from RNAcentral.